UUGACGCGCACUUGAGCGUGCUUGAGCGGCGCGAUGGCGUCGCCAUACGGAACCGCGCGCGCUCGAAAGAGCGCAGUUUCGCCCGAUCCCGACGAUCCGGCAAGUGAUAUUUUGGACUCAUCGAGCACAGAUGACUCGGACAUCGAUGCUGCGUCGUCGCAGUUCAGCUUAGAUGAGGAAGAUGUAGCCUAUCAGCCGGGAACAUCAGCUGUUACCCGCAGAGUGUCCACUUCAUUUGGGCAAGACUUGCUUCCACCAGCUCAAAGAAGCGUGGAGUUUCGACCCCAGAGAGAUCGGGGCAUUGACCUCGUGAUGACGCUCCGUAGCGGUACGAAGCGGCUAUCGUGAGCGCUCGAUUUUUUUCGCCUUUUCUUUACGGCGGAGGUCAUUCACGCUAUUUGUGCAAAUACCAACAAGUAUGCAUGGAUGCACGUCCUCGGAAAACCGACCUACAGCGAGAAGGAUGGUUCGUGGAAAUGAUGAAGUUCAUCGCCCUACUAUAUGCAUACAUGGGACUGGAACUGCCGCGGCUGCAUUUGUAUUGGAAUACAUCAAAAUUGUUUUCCGGGAUUCUCCCUCCAAGGCGACGUUUCACCGCGCUCCUGGUCAUGCUGCAUAUUUGUGACCCAGAAACUAACAACGACGCUGCCGCACAGAAACUAGACAAGGUGUCCUGGCUUCUUCAGCACAUCAACGACUGCUCCGCGUCAUUGUUCCAGCCGUAUCGCGAAAUUUCAGUGGACGAAAGAGUGGUAAAAUCCAAAGCGUGGUCUGGAAUUCGGCAAUACAUAAGACAAAGUUGUGAAAUGGGGCUACAAAUUAUGGGUUCUUGCGGACCUGAAAACCGGCUACACCAUCCAGUUCAUAGUGUAUACAGGGAAGCGUGAAACUUAGAACGACAGAAAGCUGAGCUAGUUGGUAAGGAUUCAUUAUGCAAGAAAAGGUGAGGCGUGCAGACAGGACACAAGAGAAGAGAAGUGGACAACACGAACGCCGUUCGGCGUUCGUGUUGUUAUAGCACUUAUAGCACCAAGCUCAUCAUGCGUACAAUGUGGAAAAAGUUAACAAACCGCCUAGUUCCACAAUUUAGACUCUUUAAAUGAGCCCACAAAAAAGUAUGAAGGCAUUUAUUAGACAACUGAGAUGUUUUAGUUGAAAUACAUAUAAUUUGAUUCUGUGAGGCAUAAAUUGCUGUAUCAUAUAUGUGUUUCAGCAUGAAGUCAUUGCUUUGUUGAAAAGUGUAGAGAUUUGUUUUCUCACAAAACAGCAAAUUUGGUGGCGAAAUAUAAUGUUUGGACAAGCUAUAGGCUUUCUUAGCACCAUUACUGAAGCAGAAAAGAUAGAAAAUAAACAGUACCAGCAGUGUUUACAAUGAACUGCAGAAGAAUUGAAAAGCAGGUGAGUUGGAACCUACAGUAUUCAUUCUUAAGCAGCGCACAUAGAAAAUGAGAUGCAAGAAAAUUUAUUUGUUUUGAAUUCUGUCUUUAAGGUUGUCCUGUUUCCUUUCUCAUGUUUAGAUUUUUUAUGUGAACUGCCCAAGUUUACAAUGACGAUAGUGUGGAGCUUGCCACAUUCCAAGAGCAGCCACUUGGCAGGUUCUUCUUUUUUUUUUUUUUUGCAUCAACUUCCUGAAGACCAAUUUUAAGCCAAGAUCUAUAAAUAAUCGGGUGUAUAGGUAUACCUCAAUACCUCAAUACCUUCAAUACCUCAAUAAAGGAUGAUUUCAAAUUUGAAUGAAACUUGUAUGAGAUUGAGCUGUUGAAAAGAAAUGCACCACAUUUCUGAAAGCGAUGUGUCAAAUUGCUUCUAAUGGUACUGUUAUUUUUACAAGCUUUCUGCAAUUUGAAUGUCUUUUCAUGGUCACAAAAUGGGCCUGUCGCUGCAUAGUGUAUGGUAUAGACCUUUUUCAUCCGCGAUGUGGCAGCACUACGUUCUUGACCCCAGAGAACUUCUGGUCAGCCAUUUACGAGAGUCAUGUUAGCCAAGAAAAAAGAAGUAUUUUGCCGCAUACUACACUGCCGGCUCAUAUUCUUGAUGUUUUCAGAUUAGAGAAUGUGCGCAAUGCGUCGAACUCAGGUGUGGGCUUUUUUUUUUUUUUUGCACUUAACAAUACAAUUCAUUGUCAAAUACUCCAACUCCCCAACAAAGCUGGUGCCAGCUGGAGGGUCCUGUAAGUUUAUAGGCCAAUGUAACUUCUGUUGCUCCCGAUGGCUUAACCAGAAGUCUUCUGGGAACUCUGUUUGUAAGCAUGGAAAAGGUAAUUUGGGCUCAUAAAUCUGUUAACAAUCCUUUUGUGAGGUUUGUUUAAACAUCUUGCCUGAGCAAAGGUUAUUUGAACUUUCCACAAGCGAAUUUAAAUUCAUGCUGCAAAGAGAGCAACAGCAAAAAAUGCAGUCAUGGAAAAUUGCUAUUACUAUUAUAUUAUAAAAAUUAUUCAAUACUACGCGUACAUUAUUUAAAUAAAGGUGUGCAUAUAAAGAUGCCACUGAAAAGAGUCCAUAAGCAUGUUUGUUUGAUGCCUUAGUGUUGCAUGACAUUGCCUUGCAUUUGGUUAACUUGUAACUUGUCUUCUUUUUAUGUAUUGUUGCGAGACAUGUUGCUGUGCAUUUUGCAGUUCUCUGUCUCUGUCAACUUCUGCAGUGCUGUACCUUUUGUAUCCCACCUUGCUAAAGUCACCAAUUGUUUCUGCCAGAACUGUAAUAAAUGUCGUUUUUGUGUAGUCAUACUGUACUACAGUUCACUGUGUUGCUUUGUGCAAACUGCAUUGUGUAUGUGGUAUGCAUGUUCUAUACAUUUUAUACCACCCUGCACAUGCAGUGCACCAAGCAGCAGCUACCUUGCUGUUUAAGGCUAGAUCAUUUUUUCCUAUAUCACUAUGAGCAUGAGUUGUAUUAUCAGUGGUCAUACUUUCUGCAUUUAUGAUUUUACACACUACAUAAAAAUUAUUUUACUGAUGUGUGCUUCCAUAUUUUGAGCAUCCCAUGCUAAAGCUAGCAUCCAUUGUGAUGGGACAUUUCCAAGCUGCUGUAUCAGUUCUUGUAAAUGGAAACAACUUCUCCCAAUUGGCUUUCAUAUGUUCCCCAUUUAGUUUGGAAGGCUUCCAGUCAUGCUUGGCAUUUUCAGCUUGGAAUGUCUGGUCACACAGCUGGAGUAGAUUCUGUUUCCAGCUGGAAAAUCAUUUCCAGCCAGUCGUGGGGAGGCCCAGUAAAGAAAGAGCUAUUACCACCCAGAAACACAAGUUUCCAGCACGAGUAAAGUCAAUUUCCAGCUGUAAAAUGUGAUUUCUAGCUGUCCAUGGAAAGGUUCCGGCUAGGAAUGCUAUUUCCAGCUGGAAAGCUGGCUGGAAAACUUAGUUUCCGGCCAGAUCUGGUUUUGUUUCUGGCUGGAAAACCUGGUUUCGAGCUGGAAAUGGUAUCCCCAGCUGGAAAUGUGGCUGGAAAACUCAGUUUCCAGCCGGAAAUCCCCUACCUAUUUUCAUGUAGGAGCAUUUUACCUUUAAGACAAAGAAUUCCUUAAGACGACGGCAUGCCUAAAACCUAAUAACACUAAUAUGAUUACGUGACAAACUGCCUUAUAAUUCAUACCUCGUUUCUAACCCGCCGUGGUUGCUCAGUAGCUAUGGUGUUGGGCUGCUGAACACGAGGCGCAGGAUCGAAUACCGGCCGCGGCGGCCGCAUUUCGAUGGGGGCGAAAUGUGAGAACACCUGUGUACUUAGAUUUAGGUGCACGUUAAAGAAUUUCCGGAGUCCUCCACUACGGCGUACCUUAUUAUCAGAAAGUGGUUUUGGCACGUUAAACCCCAUAAUUUAAUUUGUACCUCGUUUCUCAACUAACUACCAUUUACAAGCACUUCAUUUCAACUUACCAUCCAUUUUGAAUGAAUUUCAAGAAAUAACAACUGCUACACAUGGACAGCUGCACCGACAGUUUGUAUCUAUGUCAUCAACAAUAGCUUUCACAUUGCAAUUAUUCGAAUGACACAUUUAUGCCUGAUUUACAUACUCUUCUUACCUUGUUUGUUUUAGUAUUUGUCUGUCUUGUCAACUAUUUCGCGAUACGUCUCUUGAAUUUCUAUUGUAUUCUUCAUAGUAAAUUUACCUAACUUAAAUUACCUGCUUAUUUUCAGUUAUAGAGACUCUUUGUACAUUUAGAAUGUGUAUACCAAAAUGAUCAAUUUAUUUAUAUUGUGUUAAACAUAUGGUGUGCUUCAUAUUGUAAGUCUAUUGUCUUAGUAAGUACCAACAUCCAUUUUAAUUACGACAUUUUUGCUUUCAUUUUUAGGCUGUAUAAUUGUACAAUAAACAUUGCAUGCUGCCAAUGUAAGGGUCUUCAGGAACGCAGUCAAGCUGCCUAGAGCAGCUUUUUAGCCCUAAGACCAUUCAGAUUUUCUGUAUAGAGAUUGAUCGAUUGAUUGAAUAAACACAGUUGCCCAUUGCAAGAUGAUAAAGAUGAGAGUCCAUUUCUUACACACAAUUACUUUUACACUUUUACUAACGGAUGCACACUGUUGAUGGAUUUUGUAUUGCCGCAUGCUUUUUCUUUCCUGUUUCAUCUAAAGGCUACUAUCAAAAUUCUGUUGUGAAGCAAGUUGCACUUCUGAUAUUAUGGGCUUACACAUUUGGAAUGUUGUUUUAUCUAGAAAGACCGGCCAGCCAUGCUCAACUUUUGACACACAGACUGAUGUUUGUCGUAUCUUCUAUUAUUUACGUGGCCGCUUCAUAAAAAGCAAUAUAAAAAGCAGUUCGAUGCAAGCAUCAUCAUUUGGUUCGACGACCACUGACUGUGCUAGUUGCUAUCACUGCCACUGAGUUGUACCUUAUUUUAAGAAGGCCCAAAUUUGCUGAAUAAAUUUGUUUACAAUUUA
This is a long non-coding RNA of Dermacentor andersoni, 4864 nucleotides long. RefSeq lists it as uncharacterized. The record is from RefSeq and is a predicted model, not a curated record. NCBI's taxonomy places the organism in Eukaryota, Metazoa, Arthropoda, Arachnida, Ixodida, Ixodidae.